GUAUGAGUAAAGUGGCGCACGGGUGACUAACGCGUGGAUAAUCUACCGGGAAGUUCGGAAUAACAGCUGGAAACGGUUGCUAAUACCGGAUACACUACAUAUAAACGUAUGUGGGAAAGACGGCCUCUUCAUAUGCUGUUGCUUUCCGAUGAGUCCGCGUACCAUUAGCUAGUUGGUGGGGUAAAGGCCUACCAAGGCGACGAUGGUUAACUGGUCUGAGAGGAUGAUCAGUCACACUGGAACUGGAACACGGUCCAGACUCCUACGGGAGGCAGCAGUGGGGAAUAUUGCGCAAUGGGCGAAAGCCUGACGCAGCGACGCCGCGUGAGGGAUGAAGGUCUUCGGAUCGUAAACCUCUGUCAGCAGGGAAGAACGGUCACUGUGCUAAUCAGCAGUGAAUUGACGGUACCUGCAAAGGAAGCACCGGCUAACUCCGUGCCAGCAGCCGCGGUAAUACGGAGGGUGCGAGCGUUAAUCGGAAUUACUGGGCGUAAAGCGCUCGUAGGCGGUAUGCCAAGUCAAGGGUGAAAUCCCCGCGCUCAACGUGGGAACUGCCUUUGAAACUGGCAAACUGGAGUGUGUGAGAGGAUAGUGGAAUUCCAGGUGUAGGAGUGAAAUCCGUAGAUAUCUGGAGGAACAUCAGUGGCGAAGGCGACUAUCUGGCACAUAACUGACGCUGAGGAGCGAAAGCGUGGGUAGCAAACAGGAUUAGAUACCCUGGUAGUCCACGCUGUAAACGAUGGAUACUAGGUGUGGGGGGACUGACCCCCUCCGUGCCGCAGUUAACACAAUAAGUAUCUCACCUGGG
Molecule: ribosomal RNA, 808 nt
Filed under: uncultured bacterium
Lineage: Bacteria
Description: bacterial SSU rRNA
Rfam family: Bacterial small subunit ribosomal RNA
Source: RNAcentral